CAGUGUAACCCAAGCAAAGUGUGCUUUAGUUUGACAACCCGAAACUAAGUGAGCUACUCCGAGACAGCCUAUUAAUAGGGCAAACCCGUCUCUGUGGCAAAAGAGUGGGAAGAGCUUUGAGUAGAGGUGAUAGACCUACCGAACUUAGUUAUAGCUGGUUGCCUGGGAAUUGGAUAGAAGUUCAGCCUCCCGAAUUCUUUGUUCACUUCAGCAUUACCCCUUCUGAUACCCAGGAGAAGUCGAGAGAGUUAAUCAAAGGGGGUACAGCCCCUUUGAGUCAAGAUACAACUUUUUCAGGAGGGUAAGGAUCAUAGUUUAGAAGGUAAAAUACUUGGGUGG
Molecule: ribosomal RNA, 339 nt
Filed under: Etheostoma okaloosae (Okaloosa darter)
Lineage: Eukaryota; Metazoa; Chordata; Actinopteri; Perciformes; Percidae
Description: partial 16S ribosomal RNA
Rfam family: Bacterial large subunit ribosomal RNA
Source: RNAcentral